CAACCAGGUCUAGAACCCAAACCUUCAACCCCUGAGCUUUCCUGCCUUCGAGUCCUCGGAGCUCUCCUGGAGGCUGAGCAGGCAACAGAGCCUGCUCCUCAGCUGGAUGUGGCCCGUGGGAGGUGGAGAAACUGAGGCUCAGAUAAAUGACUAAGAAGUAAAGUGAGGUCCCAUAGCCAGUGAAUGGCAGAGCAGGGAUUCGAACCCAGGUCUCUCAUCUGGGAAGUGGGAUGAUAGCGCCAACCUAGCUGGAUUGCUGUGACUGCCAGCACAAUGCCUUCUAAGGGUUCAAGAUGAGAUUACUUAGUCCCAGAUGGGUUAAGUAACUGGCCCAAGGUCACAGCGCUGGUAAGCAACUGGGCUUCAAUCCAACCAUCCUGACUCCAGAAGCCUCUUUGAACUACCACCUUCUGCACCUGCCCCAGGGCUUCUUCGCCUGAGCCGGUGCCUUGCUGCCGCCCUGCUCAUCUCUUCUGGGAAGAUGCCUCUCAUCUUGCCAGUCCUCAAGCCAGAAGCCUCCGGUGCUGCCCUAGGGCUCCCUGAAUAGGCAUCCCUAAGGCAUCCCUCCUGGUGUUCAAACCACAUCCUUCCUGGCUAAGCUUCCAUUCCCCAGGGUAGCCCUCCACACUUUGGAGCCUCAGCUCACCUCUCACUCUCACACUUCAGUUUCACACUUCCCUUCUGAAUGGUCCCACCUCUGUGCUUUUGCUUAAGCUGUGCACACUUCCCAGAGUGCUCUUUCCCCUAUGUCUGCCUGUGCUCCAAUACCCUAUGCCUGAGCUGACCCAUGACAUACAAGCACCUACAGAGGCCUGGGGGAAGGAGGCAGUGGUAUGUGUGUCAGUGUGGGGAGUCAGUGAAGAGGUUUGGGGCUUUAGGGUCAGUUAUGUGACUUCAGGGCAAGUCCCCAUCUCCCUGAACCCCAGUUUCUGCAAAAUGAAGAUAUCCAUCCCAGCUUCUCCCAAGGUUUAUAAUGGUAAUCUGUGAGGUUCUGGCACAUGAUGAAUCCAUAACUACCCGUUGUGACAAGUUCCCCACUUGUGAAGUCAAAUGAAGACCCCCUGGUGUUGACAGUGCAGGAAAACCUGUGCCCGAGCACCUUGUCCCUAGGGAGAACCCUACCUUCAGUGCCUCUCUGAACAACAGGGCCAGGAAGGGGUCACUGUAUAGCAGUUGGUCCCUAGUGACCAGUCCUGGCAGAGGGCCUUUAUCCCACUUCCAGUAGCCCAGCACCAACCAUCCCCAGCUCUGGGAGGGGGUGGGCAGCACCCUCCUUCCUCCACAUUGUUGCCACCUCAGAGAGUCAGAAUCCAGGGAGACAGUCUCCUGGCAGCGGAGCUCCUGCUGCCCGCCAUGGGUGUCUGUGAUGCUGCCGUGCCCACUGGGGGCUGCAGGCACUCCAGCAUCAGGAUGGACUAAAUCUCGGGAGUGGGAAGGGGACUCCAGCCAGGGGCACUGGAGACAGGGCCAGCCUGAGUGCCUGCUUCUCCCAGGGGCAGGUGCCAGCAUGGUGCACCCCUCAAGGAGUGUGGCAGGUAAGAUUGAGGUCCUGGCUGCCCCAGGCUCCUGUGCCAUCGAGAGGGAAAGCACCUGGAACAGGUAUACAGUAGAUGCUUAGUGAUGAGGAGAAUCUUCACUUGGUGGAAUUCUGAACACUUUGGGUACCACCAGAGUCAGAAUUCCCAGAGGAGGAGGCAGGCAUUUGAUAACGGAUGUCUGGAGGAUAUAGCAUGUUCAACCUUCCCCUCUCCAUGAGAGGAAGUGGUGACCUCAACCCCAGCACCCUCCUCUGCCCAUUCACACCCACCCACUCCCACCUCUCUGCCAGCCUCAGUUGGAUGUGGAGCAGAAUGUAAUGAGGACUUACCUGUCCACAAGGACUUCACAACUGUUCCAAGGCGAUGGAUGGGCAGGUGCUAACGCAGCCCCUCAGUGUCCCCCUUCCCUUGCUUUUGGGGUGGGCUUGGGGCCCCCGGGGGGUCCUAACUCACUGAAGAUACCAGGGCCCAGCUUCUGAGUAUUCCUAGAGGCCAUUUCUACCCCUAGAAACUUUACAUGGAGCCAAAAGCCCAUUUGAAGCUCAGUCUGGGCCAGGAGAGGCUAAUCAUAAAAGGGAUAUUUUUUAAGUGUACAGAAAUAAGAAUUUAUUUUUGAAGACAUGAUUUAUAUUUUGAAUGGCUAAUGCACUCACAUGAUUCAAAAUUCAAAAUUCCAAAAGAACCGACAGUGCAAAGUCGCUCCUCCUUUGGUCCCCACCACCCAGUUUCCCUCUGCAGAGGGAACCUUGUUGCCAGUUCUUGUGUAUUCUUCCAGAGAUCUUCUAUGUAUAAACCGUCAUCCUCCUAAAAAAAAAAAAAAAAAAAAAAAAAAAAAAAAAAAAAAAAAAAAAAAAAAAAAAAAAAAA
RNAcentral lists this long non-coding RNA (2404 nucleotides) under Homo sapiens (human). RNAcentral describes it as "uncharacterized LOC101927495 (LOC101927495)". The record is from RNAcentral. Lineage: Eukaryota; Metazoa; Chordata; Mammalia; Primates; Hominidae.